RNAcentral lists this ribosomal RNA (181 nucleotides) under uncultivated soil bacterium. RNAcentral describes it as "partial 16S ribosomal RNA". The record is from RNAcentral.
GGGGCUGGACGAAAUAGAUGAAAGCAAGAAGGAGCAACAGCGGCAGACAAGGAUGAAGAUGUUGAUGUCAUGGUUGCCACUGCUAUGCAGAGCAAGCAAUGGAACAGAUGCCCCCGUUCUAAGCCUCAGUGAAAGAGCUGAACUGGAGAAAGUGUUGGACCAAAUUUUCUUAAUGCUGGGA